Molecule: transfer RNA, 65 nt
Filed under: Inocellia elegans
Lineage: Eukaryota; Metazoa; Arthropoda; Insecta; Raphidioptera; Inocelliidae
Description: tRNA-Thr
Source: RNAcentral
GUUUUUAUAGUUUAAUACUAAAACAUUAAUUUUGUAAAUUAAAAAUAAUAAAUUAUUUAAAAACU